UCAUUUAGAGGAAGUAAAAGUCGUANCAAGGUCUCCGUAGGUGAACCUGCGGAGGGAUCAUUACACAAAUAUGAAGGCGGGCUGGAACCUCUCGGGGUUACAGCCUUGCUGAAUUAUUCACCCUUGUCUUUUGCGUACUUCUUGUUUCCUUGGUGGGUUCGCCCACCACUAGGACAAACAUAAACCUUUUGUAAUUGCAAUCAGCGUCAGUAACAAAUUAAUAAUUACAACUUUCAACAACGGAUCUCUUGGUUCUGGCAUCGAUGAAGAACGCAGCGAAAUGCGAUAAGUAGUGUGAAUUGCAGAAUUCAGUGAAUCAUCGAAUCUUUGAACGCACAUUGCGCCCUUUGGUAUUCCAAAGGGCAUGCCUGUUCGAGCGUCAUUUGUACCCUCAAGCUUUGCUUGGUGUUGGGCGUCUUGUCUCUAGCUUUGCUGGAGACUCGCCUUAAAGUAAUUGGCAGCCGGCCUACUGGUUUCGGAGCGCAGCACAAGUCGCACUCUCUAUCAGCAAAGGUCUAGCAUCCAUUAAGCCUUUUUUUCAACUUUUGACCUCGG
Molecule: ribosomal RNA, 555 nt
Filed under: Alternaria sp. JJP-2009a
Lineage: Eukaryota; Fungi; Ascomycota; Dothideomycetes; Pleosporales; Pleosporaceae
Description: eukaryotic LSU rRNA
Rfam family: 5.8S ribosomal RNA (bases 229-382)
Source: RNAcentral